This 433-nucleotide ribosomal RNA is filed under the name uncultured bacterium. RNAcentral's name for it is "partial 16S ribosomal RNA". It matches the Rfam family "Bacterial small subunit ribosomal RNA", at positions 29 to 507 of the family's 1533-position model. The record is from RNAcentral.
AACGAACGCUGGCGGCAUGCCUAACACAUGCAAGUCGAACGAGACCUUCGGGUCUAGUGGCGCACGGGUGCGUAACGCGUGGGAACCUGCCCUUAGGUUCGGAAUAACUCCCCGAAAGGGGUGCUAAUACCGGAUAAUGUCUUCGGACCAAAGAUUUAUCGCCUUUGGAUGGGCCCGCGUUGUAUUAGCUAGUUGGUAGGGUAAAAGCCUCCCAAGGCGACGAUCCAUAGCUGGUCUGAGAGGAUGAUCAGCCACACUGGGACUGAGACACGGCCCAGACUCCUACGGGAGGCAGCAGUGGGGAAUAUUGGACAAUGGGCGAAAGCCUGAUCCAGCAAUGCCGCGUGAGUGAUGAAGGCCUUAGGGUUGUAAAGCUCUUUUACCCGGGAUGAUAAAGACAGUACCGGGAGAAUAAGCUCCGGCUAACUCCGUG